This 446-nucleotide long non-coding RNA is filed under the name Pan troglodytes (chimpanzee). RNAcentral describes it as "long non-coding RNA NONPTRT001027". The record is from RNAcentral. Lineage: Eukaryota; Metazoa; Chordata; Mammalia; Primates; Hominidae.
GAAUGAGGAAAAAAGAUUUGCAAACCAUAUAUUCAAUAAGGGGUUAAAUCCUAAAUAUAUAAGGGACUCAUACACCUUAAUACCGAAAUUACAAAUAGCAAUUUAAAAAUGGACAAAGGACCUCAAAAGAAGGGUUUAGCAUAUUGUGUGUAGGCUCUUCUAGGGAAGGGUCAUUUCUUCAUUUUUAUAUCCAUGGCAUCACAAACUGGACAUAUCUUUAUUAUAGCACUUAGCAAACUGAAUUAUCAGUGACUAUCUUACCUGUUUUUACUGGUCAGUGAUUUGGGGCCUUGUUUACCUCUGCAUCCCAUGGCCUAGUUGUUAAAUCUGCAUCCCUAGUGCAGAUUGCUAUUCUAGUUGUUUAACUGUGCAUCCCAUGGCCUAGUUGUUCAAUCAAAUUUUGUUGAAUGACUGCAUGAAAGAAAAAACACAUCGAAGGGCCAGCA